UGUUAUAUUUUAUUUAUUUAUUUAUUUUCGUUUUUUUUUUCGUUUUUUCGUUUUUUCGUUUUUUUUUUAAAUUUUAAACACGUGGGCGUCGCCUAGCGAGUAUGACAGUUCAAGAAAUUCCUCUGAGCGUAGGUGAUUCUGGUGGCUUUUCUUGGGACUCGCUAGGCGACCCAUUCUGCUCGCCUAGCGAGCAUGACAACUCAUGAAC
This 208-nucleotide long non-coding RNA is filed under the name Lathyrus oleraceus (garden pea). Its description in RNAcentral is "Pisum sativum (pea) long non-coding RNA (PSAT_LNC005161)". The record is from RNAcentral. Lineage: Eukaryota; Viridiplantae; Streptophyta; Magnoliopsida; Fabales; Fabaceae.